This 3070-nucleotide ribosomal RNA is filed under the name Schmidtea mediterranea. RNAcentral describes it as "eukaryotic LSU rRNA". The stretch from base 1677 to 3070 matches the Rfam family "Eukaryotic large subunit ribosomal RNA", at positions 1891 to 3294 of the family's 3401-position model. The record is from RNAcentral. Lineage: Eukaryota; Metazoa; Platyhelminthes; Tricladida; Dugesiidae.
AAUAAAACUAUUGCUCUUAAAAUCACUAUGGCUUUAAAUGAAUUAUUUGAUCUUAAAGCAGCAAUGACCUUUCACCCUCAUGAUGACUUUAAAUAUCAAAAUAACAACUAUGAUUGUGGCCCUUUCAUCUGUGCAUAUGCCAUGGUGAUUAGUGGCGAAUGGCAAAGUUUUCCUGAAAGCUUUGACGAGAUAAUCCGAAAAGAGGUCCACCAAUUCAAACUUUUCCCACAACAAAAAGAUCCCAAAAUAUCGGGGGGUGGCCUACCAAAGUUCAUGGAGAUAAUUAAGCCAAAUGGAGUAAACAAAAUAAGCAAUGUGAGUCUAGCCUUUCUUUUAAAACAGAACUCAUGUAUCUCGUCCUUGUUAAGUGAAUGGUUUAAAAAUAAGAGUAAUACAACUGUUCUUUCACCUGAAUUGACAUUGAAAAUAAUUCCACAGAACAAUACAUUUAUUAGAGAAAAUGUAACGUUUAAACAAUUUUCUGGAAUAGAUCAUGUCAUCAGCGUCAUUCCAAAUGACACGAAUUGGUGUCUUUAUCUUUUCUCACUGGUUUCAGGAAUCAGUUAUAAAUUCAAUUUUAAAAACAAAAUUGUAACUGAAAGACUAAUUGGUAUUGGAGAAAACAUGACUGACUACCUGAACAAAUUUUUCAUUUCUGACAGACAGAUCAUCUUCAAUAGAGACCACAACAUCAAUCACAUUUCUGUGACACUGGGCGAUUCACAUCUUUGCUUCUGCUUUUAUUGAACUUGUUGAAAGGUUGAUCUUUGACAAGCAGGUCUCUCACAGAAGUAUCAGUGAGUCCCUAAAUUCUUUUAAACUUCAACAAGCAAAUGAGAUCUGCCAGAAUUUAAAUUUGCUAAAUUGCAAAAUUACUGAAGAAAUAACAUCAAAGUAUUUUAAUAUUCUAAAACUAGAUUAUAACUUCAUACUUUUGAAUACGACGAUGUGCUCUGCAAUCCUUGACGAUUGCACCCAAUUCCUGAACGAAUAUUUAAGCUACGAGUGCAUCAUUAAAGCACAAGUAAUUUUCGCCAUUAUUGCACCCCCACAAUACAGGAAUUUCUUUUAAUUAUCGAUUAUAAUACUGACGAGUAUUAUAUUCUUAAUCCAACGACUCUAUCUGAAACUGAAAAUCACUUAUCCAUCUGCAAGAGUUUUAGAAACAAAAUAAAUGAUAUUAAAGAAACACCUGGCCGUGUAUUAAAUAUUGGUGUUUACAAUCAUGAUAUCCGCGGAUCUGGCCUUGUGAAUAAAGUCCUUAUCUGUACUUUCAUCAAGCAUUACGUAAACGACUUACCAAACAGAUUACAAACAGAUGAAGGACUCAGAAAGCCUGACUUAAUGAUUCGCCACAAAGGAAAAACAAUAAUAUGCGAUGCACAAGUAGUGGCAGAUAGCUAAAAUUGCGAUUUAGAAAAUGAAAACAAAAGAAAAAUAGACUACUAUAAGAAAGAUUCAAUAAUCAAGGAAACAAGAAAACUUAUCGGACGUGUCGAGGAAAAUAUAAUAGCAAUGGCAUUCACAUUCAAUUGGAGAGGAGCCAUAGCAAAAGAUUCAAUGAGAGAUUUAGAGAUACUCCUAGACAUAAAAUCGAAAGAAGUAAUCAAAAUGUCCAGAAAGAUACUAAGGGAUAACAGCAUCAUGGUGAUGAUGCAUAGAAACCGAACUGAGAGGAAAAGGUAGUAGAAAAAGAAAGAAUACAAAAAUGAUUGGGAAUUAUGACCGAUAUAGCUGAAAGCCAAAAGGAAGGUUAGAUCCUGAAACCGAAGUGUAGUUUCGAUCCCAAGAGGAACUGUGGGUUAAGUUUGAGCCGAUGGAAAAACCGAAUGUAUGUUAGAUGGCGAGGUACAGUCACCUCCUCGUGAUAUUUGGCGGGCAAUGCUCACUAAAAUAACUGUGAGUAGCUAAGACUGUAUAUUUAUCAUGAAAAAAAAAUAGCCAAAUGCCUCGUCAUCUAAUUAGUGACGUGCAUGAAUGGAUUAACGAGAUUCCUAUUGUCCCUAUCUACUAUCUAGCGAAACUAAUGCCAAGGGAACGGGCUUGGAAAAUAUAGCGGGGAAAGAAGACCCUGUUGAGCUUGACUAUAGUCCGACUUUGUAGGAGAACUUUAGAGGUGUAGCAUAUGUGGGAGACUUCGGUCGACAGUGAAAUACCACUACUCUGAUCGUUUUUCUACUUACUCAAUGAUGCAUUAUAAUUAACUUUUUUUUGUUUAUUUUAGUGAAAAAAUUGCGAUCUUCGGAUGCAAUUGAACUUUUUUGAGGACAGUGUCAGGUGGGGAGUUUGACUGGGGCGGUACAUCUGUCAAAUGGUGACGCAGAUGUCCCAAGGGAAGCUCAACUAGGACAGAAGCCUGGUGUUGACUUAAAUGGGAAAAGCUUCCUUGAUCGUGAUUUUCAGUACGAAUACUGACCGUGAAAGCGUGGCCUAUCGAUCCUUUUAAUUUUUACAGAGUUUGUAUCAAGAGGUGUCAGAAAAAAAACUAGUGGUUUUUACUAGUGGUGUCCAUUCUUGUCACUAUAAAUAUCCGCGGAUAUUUAUAGAGAGUUGUUAGCUAUCAGGUGCCUUACUGUUUCCAUCAGCAACCAUGAUAGCUAGGCUCAAUUGGAUAACUGGCAUGUGGCGGCCAAGCGUUCAUAGCGAGUCGCUUUUUGAUCCGUCGAUGUCGGCUCUUCCUAUCAUUGUGAAGCAGAAUUCGCAAAGCGCUGGACAGUUCAUCCACUAAUAGGGAACGUGAGCUGGGUUUAGACCGUCGUGAGACAGGUUAGUUUUACCCUACUAUAGACUAAUUUGUCAUGAUAAUAGUAAUUCUGCUCAGUACGAGAGGAACCGCAGAUUCGGAUCACUGGUAAAUGGGCUUGAUCGAAAGGUCAGUGGCACGAAGCUACAAUCCGAGAGAUUAGGACUUAACGCCUCUAAGUUUGAAUCUCGCCUAAAAAUCAUAAUAUUUUGUGCCAUCCUCGUAAUUGUUUAACGGCGGUAGUAAAUAUGACUCGCUUAAUAUGAGUUAAACUUCUUGAUAACUAAAAAUUAAUUUGCCUGCUUCUUACAGUUAAAACUGUGGUAU